UGCAAGUCGAACGAGAUUAAGGGGCUUGCUCCUUAUGAAAGUGGCGCACGGGUGCGUAACGCGUAUGCAACCUACCUCAAUCAGGGGGAUAGCCCGAAGAAAUUCGGAUUAACACCGCAUAAAAACACAGGAUAGCAUUAUCUAAUGUUCAAAUAUUUAUAGGAUUGAGAUGGGCAUGCGUGUCAUUAGCUAGUUGGCGGGGUAACGGCCCACCAAGGCGACGAUGACUAGGGGAUCUGAGAGGAUGACCCCCCACACUGGUACUGAGACACGGACCAGACUCCUACGGGAGGCAGCAGUAAGGAAUAUUGGUCAAUGGAGGCAACUCUGAACCAGCCAUGCCGCGUGCAGGAAGACAGCCCUCUGGGUCGUAAACUGCUUUUAUUCGGGAAUAAACCUAUUUACGUGUAGAUAGCUGAAUGUACCGAAGGAAUAAGG
This 438-nucleotide ribosomal RNA is filed under the name Bacteroidetes bacterium BAL151.1. Its description in RNAcentral is "bacterial SSU rRNA". It matches the Rfam family "Bacterial small subunit ribosomal RNA", at positions 56 to 491 of the family's 1533-position model. The record is from RNAcentral. Lineage: Bacteria; Pseudomonadati; Bacteroidota.